UGGGUCACACCACUGCACACCGCAGCCCCACUCCACUUGGAGCUAUUUUUGUUCAGGCAGGAGGGGGGAGGGCCUUCUAUGAUUUGUCAUAUUGCAGAAGUAAGUGCAGCAUUCUGUGGUGCAGAAGAGACCAGGGUUGUUUUUUAUUCCCCUUCCCUGUUUGGAAAAUAACUUUGACUUGAGAUAAAAGGGCUACUUGUAGGUCAUUAGUCAUGGGGAAGCUUACAAGGUGGAUCAGGCAGAUUCGUCGGCUUGAUCCUGUCCACUCAUGUGACAUUUAGAGGGAGAGCAAGUGGUUGCUGCCCUAGUUUUCAAUCUUCCUCCCACUCCGUUACUUUCUGAGUACUCAGAGCCUGGCCUUGCAUCUCUGGUCUGUGUUGGUAACAGCAGCCCGGGUUAAGUCUGCUUCUUAAAAAAAAAGACGAGAUGAAUCUGAAGUUUAUGUUCAGUCCGUAAUAACUUGUUUGGAGACAGAGCAAAAUAGGGGGAAGAGAGAGGCGUGUGGGAGUCAAAGUUACUGUAGUCAGCUUGGUGAGUGCCUCAUUGCAGGAGGAGAUGGAACAAGAAAGUGAAGAGAGAGAGAGGUGUUGCAGUGUGCUUCCUGAAGGAGCUGUUUCUGCCUGGUCGUUUCCUGGAGAUCUCUGAGAGAUAAUCAGUUCCGGAUGUCAAUCCUGGAGCGACUGGAGCAGAUGGAGAAACGGAUGGCAGAGAUGACUGGUUCAUCCUCCAAUCAGCAACAAUCGAUGGGCUCAGGGGACAAGAUGCACAUCCAGGCAUCUUCCGAUUCUUUUGAGGAAAGAAUUAUCGCUGUCUGUGAGGCGAUGAUGUCCCGGUCCAACUGGCUACGCUCUGAACGGCUCCUUCAUGGAAUCAGUUUCCGGGGAAUGACCCUGUUACACCUUGCGGCAGCUCAGGGAUACGGCCAGCUCAUCGCGACUCUCAUCAAGUGGAGGC
Molecule: non-coding RNA, 954 nt
Organism: Chiloscyllium plagiosum (whitespotted bambooshark)
Lineage: Eukaryota; Metazoa; Chordata; Chondrichthyes; Orectolobiformes; Hemiscylliidae
Source: RefSeq, a predicted model, not a curated record